GUUCCCAUGAAUACUGUUAUUUUCAGUAUGAGGACAUACCCAGGGACCUAUGCAACAAAUACACACAUUCUGAGCUCUGGGACCCUUCUUCAUAUUGCAGUCAUCGGCUCUGUGUUUCUGUGUGUUCUGGGUAAUGCGUAUGCACAUAUGUUGAAAAAUGCUAACCCAUGUGGGCGGGUGAUGUUUGGGUGAGCGGCUUGUGUGGCUUGAGGGAAGGGCAGAUGUUGUGGGGGGGAUAUGGAUGGUUGUGUGGAAAAAGAAUUUGCUUAAAACCAACAAAGCAGUCUUAAAUGGGAAACAUGACCCUGGUACUAAUCUGCUCUUCCUGGUAGUAAUCAGACAGCACGAGUCCCAUCCCUCCGCCGUUCCCCAUAUUUUACAGUUAAUUAGAUAGAAGGGCAGGAACCCUGCCCACCCCCAAUCACUCACACAUGUACACAUGGACUGUUUGGACUUUUAAAAAUAAGAGAGUGUAAAUACUGUGUUUUUACUGCAUUAGUCAUGAAUUUGCACAUGCAUUUGUACUAAAAGGAUUUUUUCUUUUUUUCUUUUUGUUUAUUAAUUGUGUUUUCCUCAUCAUUCCUUAUAAUUGGGCAAUUAAUAACCAUGCUCUUUUCAGCUUUGGGCAAUAGGAAACCAUGAAACAUCUUAAUUGAUGGCCAGGGGUGUGUGGUGAAGUUUAUGAGCAAAUUGUGUUCUUGGCCAAUGAGAUGACAAGCUGGGACCAAGCCUCCCUUUAAAUUCAGCACAGCUGGUAGUUUUUUUUUUUUUGUGUAUGUGUAUGAAGCAAUGGUCUCCAACCCUGGUCCUGGAGAGCUACAGGUUCUGCUGGUUUUUGUUUUCACCUUAAAAUCAGCACCCAAUUGAGACCCAAGACACCAGGCAAGUUGAGUUAACUGUGUAAUCAACUGCUCUAAUUGAUUCAUGAAGUGCAGAGUCACUAUGAAAACCAGCAGACCCUGUAGCUCUCCAGGACCAGGGUUGGAGACCACUGGUAUAGAGGGUGGAUUGUUGUUGAGGGGAGCGGAUCUUGCGUUACUUAAGGUCCUGCAGCUUAUACCCAUGUGGUAUUGUUUAAUCAUUUGUAUUUAGUGCUUUUUGAUAGUACCAGAGUUCCUACAACUCUUAUUGACUUAUAGCAAGUGCAUGUGAACUCCUACAGAUUUGUGGUGCCAUGUGUGCUUGUACUGUGGUUUAGACCUUUGCAUUUCACUAGUCUCAAGUUGCUUGUGAUUAUGUUAGAGGUAAUGUUACAUUAAACUCUGGACAACUGUAGACCUACCAGUUAGCUAGGCUACUGAAUGGCAACAUGAGCCAUGGGUAUCUUUGUUGUAGUUUUGAAAAACAAAUUUACAAUUGAUAUGAAAUGUUGACAUCAUGGCUGUGUAUUGGGUUAGAACUUCUGUAGUGCACUUUAGUGCAGUGCUAUUUGGUUGUUGUGGGUAGAUUACAUAUGCAGACAUCUUGUUUCAUUGUUUUGUUGUGCUCCAGGUCUGUUAGUUUGUCAUUGUGAACCAUUUUAUUUUGCUUUCCUUAAACUGAUCUGUCUGGGUCAUUUGUCACUAGUCUCACUAACAUCAAUUGUAUUAAAACAUACAACCCAGGGAGCAACCAUAAUUGGAGGAGACUGGUUCUGUUUUCUGAAGCCUGACCUGGUGACCCUUUUGGUCAUUCGGUAGGCGGACUGCAGAAACAUCCACCUGACUUUGAGGUGGUGUGUGCAUGUCCCAUUUCAGGGUAGAUGCACUCCACCUGCCGCCAUGGAAGCUCUAUACAUUUUAUUCUAUCUUCUGUAAAUUAACUUGAUGUGCUGUGUGGAAACUGUAGGCAUGCCCUUGAUUACUGUUGCACUACCUUUUGUGUAAGAUCUGCCCUCUUACCUCCACAUAGAGCAAGUCAGUGGCAGAUCUCUGAAUUAAACCCUAUAUGCAAACAUAUUCAGUAAUGCUCCAUUACUGACGGUCCAAUGGGAAAUGCUAAUGAAUUUAAAGUGUAUCGUAGCUUUAAUACCUUUCUGACCUAAUUUGUUUAAUAUUGGGUGCCCCCUGACUUUCUCCUCUUCCUCUUAUCUCCACACAAACAUGACCGUUACAAACUAUUCCAUUUAACAGGGUUUAUCUGGUAUAUUAACCAUUUGUAAUAACAUGCAAAAAAUAAUUAAUUUCAUGCUGUGUCAUUAUUUUCAAGAUUUAAGAUCACAGUAUUUUUAAUGCUGGAAUAUUUGUCAGUUUCCAAAACCAUGCUAACCGCAUGAAUCAAUCCCAUAGUCCUCAUCCUUUUGCGUUUUGUUCUUUUGAACUGGUUCAAAACAUGUUAAUAAAAGCAGAGAAAAUCCUGUUAUGUUGAAUAAAUAUUUGCACUAAUCUGAUUAAAAAAACAAUCAGCCUGUUUAUCAUUGUGCAUGCCCAGAGGUUUAUUUGAUCAGAAUUUUAUUUUUUUAAAUGAAGAGACUGUCUGCAAGCAAGAUUAAUCUUAACAGGCUAUUCUUUUACAGAGCUGGAAAUCAUAAAAUAUGUGGUAGCUGCUGGGAGUCCUCAGCCACAGCCAAAGGGAUGCAAUCGGUACAAAGCAUGACUGCUGGGAAAUAGCAGGCUGUGGGUGUUCUGUGAGUGUUCAGAUGCAGAACCCCAGGGGAAAAUAAAGACCCAUUCAGUGAACAAAUCCUGUGGGUUCCCAUCUGGUUGAGUACAUCAUUAAUUGACUCUGAGAGGAAGGCUGUUUACUUUGCUUUUACAGAGAAUCUAUGAACAGGGAAACAUAUUGAAAGGGCUCUGUAAUGUU
This is a long non-coding RNA of Anguilla rostrata (American eel), 2781 nucleotides long. RefSeq lists it as uncharacterized. NCBI's taxonomy places the organism in Eukaryota, Metazoa, Chordata, Actinopteri, Anguilliformes, Anguillidae. The transcript has 2 exons. The record is from RefSeq and is a predicted model, not a curated record.